This 92-nucleotide small nucleolar RNA is filed under the name Carlito syrichta (Philippine tarsier). RNAcentral describes it as "Small nucleolar RNA SNORD116 (ENSTSYG00000020193.2)". It matches the Rfam family "Small nucleolar RNA SNORD116". From Rfam's summary of the family: HBII-85 is a member of the C/D class of snoRNAs, which contain the C (UGAUGA) and D (CUGA) box motifs. HBII-85 is encoded in a tandemly repeated array with another C/D snoRNA, HBII-52, in the Prader-Willi syndrome (PWS) region of chromosome 15. Unlike most other snoRNAs, HBII-85 is expressed prevalently in the brain (but is absent in PWS patients) and lacks any significant complementarity with ribosomal RNA. The record is from Rfam by way of RNAcentral. Lineage: Eukaryota; Metazoa; Chordata; Mammalia; Primates; Tarsiidae.
GAAUUAAUGAUGAUUCCCAAAUAUACAUUCCUUGGAAAUCCAAGCAAAAUUUGUGAACAUUCUAUAUCAUUGUCCUCAUGGUACUCAGGUCU